UGUCUCCUUUCUCUAAUCAGUGAAACUAAUCUCCCCGUGAAGAAGCGGGGAUACCACCAUAAGACGAGAAGACCCCAUGGAGCUUUAAACCCAACUACACCCCUACUUUUCACACCCACUCAACCAACAGGGUCCUGUACGCUUGGUUUUAGGUUGGGGCGACCGCGGAGUAAAAUUAAACCUCCACGAUNNNNNNNNNNNNNNNNNNNUCCAAGAGCCACACCUCUAAGAAUUAGCACACUAACAUAAAAUGAUCCGAUACUCGAUCAACGAACCAAGUUACCCUGGGGAUAACAGCGCAAUCCAUUUCAAGAGCCCCUAUCGACAAAUGGGUUUACGACCUCGAUGUUGGAUCAGGAUAUCCCAGUGGUGCAGCAGCUACUAAAGGUUCGUUUGUUCAACGAUUAAAAUCCU
RNAcentral lists this ribosomal RNA (414 nucleotides) under Mantidactylus grandidieri (Grandidier's Madagascar frog). RNAcentral describes it as "partial large subunit ribosomal RNA". It matches the Rfam family "Bacterial large subunit ribosomal RNA", at positions 2017 to 2597 of the family's 2925-position model. The record is from RNAcentral. Lineage: Eukaryota; Metazoa; Chordata; Amphibia; Anura; Mantellidae.